Molecule: ribosomal RNA, 440 nt
Filed under: uncultured bacterium
Lineage: Bacteria
Description: partial 16S ribosomal RNA
Rfam family: Bacterial small subunit ribosomal RNA
Source: RNAcentral
CCUACGGGAGGCAGCAGUAGGGAAUAUUGCUCAAUGGGGGAAACCCUGAUGCAGCAACGCCGCGUGGAGGAAGAAGCUUUUCGGAUUGUAAACUCCUUUUGUGAAAGAAGAUAAUGACGGUAUCUCACGAAUAAGCACCGGCUAACUCCGUGCCAGCAGCCGCGGUAAUACGGAGGGUGCAAGCGUUAUUCGGAAUCACUGGGCGUAAAGAGUGCGCAGGCGGGCUUGUAAGUCAGAUGUGAAAUCCUGUAGCUUAACUACAGAACUGCAUUUGAAACUAUGAGUCUAGAGUGUGGGAGAGGUAGGUGGAAUUCUUGGUGUAGGGGUAAAAUGCGUAGAUAGCAAGAGGAAUACUGAUGGCGAAGGCGACCUACUGGAAUACUACUGACGCUGAUGCACGAAAGCGUGGGGAGCAAACAGGAUUAGAUACCCGGGUAGUC